AACAGUGAGAAAGAUUAACCAAUGGCACACUUGAUUCUCAAUCACUACUCACUUGAUGCAAUCAAUAAGAUAGUUUCCUUGAUCCACAUCCAAGACUGAUAUGAACCACACAUGCCCCUCCAUGAAUUAGGAAUGAAAGAACUCUACCCAUGUAAAUGGCACAAAUUGAAAAACAACCAUUAUAAAAGUAAAGGCAUUAUAGAUCAAAGAAGGCUCAAUGGCUGAGUAAUAACUGAGAGACAACACGGUAAGGGUAGCUCUUUUCUUUCAACAACUCUUACCACAAAGGUUAUAAAUCUUAUAAAAGAUAAAUGAGAAGAAUCGAACUCGAUAUCUCCCCACUCACUGCAUGAUAACAAUCAAGCUACCGCGUGAUUGGCAAAUUAAUGAUAUUUAAAUAAAUGUGAUUUUAUACAACGUGACCCAAGUUUUAUAUAAGCAAUCAGAAUAUUAAAUCAUAAUCAGCCACCCAAGAUAGUUCCCCAAAGUCUAAUGUGCCAAUAGCUAAUUAGAAAAGGCAUCUUGUUCAUUCAUGACUCCAGCAAGACAAAGGCAAUUUAAAACAAGAAGCAGCUUGUUAUAACAAGCACGAAAAUUUAAGACAUACACACAAAUCGCACAAUCAUACAAUAUUGAAAAGAGAAGAAGAAUAACGUGGUUCAACCAUAAGGUCUACGUUCA
This 681-nucleotide unclassified non-coding RNA is filed under the name Hevea brasiliensis (rubber tree). Lineage: Eukaryota; Viridiplantae; Streptophyta; Magnoliopsida; Malpighiales; Euphorbiaceae. The record is from RNAcentral.